AAGUCGUAACAAGGUUUCCGUAGGUGAACCUGCGGAAGGAUCAUUAACAAAUCUAUGAGCGAAAGCUCAUCAACCUUUGUGAAUUGGGUUGUGUAGUUGGUAACAAUUAUUCAACUUUGUUGGGGACCCUUUGUGUAUGUAAUGUAAUGUAAUGUAAUGUAAUGUAAUAUAAUAGAAAGAUUAUUUCGAAAGAUUUAAUUUUUCUAUUGCAUGCAUGCAUAUCAUAUCAUAUCAUAUCAUAUCAUAUCAUAUAUAAUAUUAACAUUGUCUGAUUAUAGAUUGAAGUCGUAAGAUUUCAAAUAAAAAUACAACUUUUAACAAUGGAUCUCUAGGCUCUU
RNAcentral lists this unclassified non-coding RNA (338 nucleotides) under fungal sp. Its description in RNAcentral is "partial internal transcribed spacer region". The stretch from base 1 to 46 matches the Rfam family "Eukaryotic small subunit ribosomal RNA", at positions 1786 to 1831 of the family's 1831-position model. The record is from RNAcentral. Lineage: Eukaryota; Fungi.